This 253-nucleotide ribosomal RNA is filed under the name uncultured bacterium. Its description in RNAcentral is "partial 16S ribosomal RNA". It matches the Rfam family "Bacterial small subunit ribosomal RNA", at positions 524 to 776 of the family's 1533-position model. The record is from RNAcentral.
UACGGAGGGUGCUAGCGUUAUCCGGAUUCACUGGGUUUAAAGGGUGCGUAGGCGGGUUUUUAAGUCAGCGGUGAAAGCUCCGGGCUCAACUCGGAAAUUGCCGUUGAUACUAUUAAUCUUGAAUUUAGUUGAGGUGGGCGGAAUGUGUAGUGUAGCGGUGAAAUGCUUAGAUAUUACACAGAACACCUAUUGCGAAGGCAGCUCGCUAAACUAAUAUUGACGCUGAGGCACGAAAGCGUGGGGAUCAAACAGG